GUGGAGAAUCUUGCACAAUGGGGGAAACCCUGAUGCAGCAACGCCGCGUGAAGGAAGACGGCCCUUGGGUUGUAAACUUCUGUUCUAAGGGAAGAUAGUGACGGUACCUUAGGAGCAAGUCCCGGCUAACUACGUGCCAGCAGCCGCGGUAAUACGUAGGGGGCGAGCGUUAUCCGGAAUUAUUGGGCGUAAAGAGUACGUAGGUGGUUUCCUAAGCAUGGGGUUUAAGGCAACGGCUUAACCAUUGUUCGCCCCAUGAACUGGGUUACUUGAGUGCUGGAGGGGAAAGCGGAAUUCCUAGUGUAGCGGUGAAAUGCGUAGAUAUUAGGAGGAACACCGGUGGCGAAGGCGGCUUUCUGGACAGUAACUGACACUGAGGUACGAAAGUGUGGGGAGCAAACAGGAUUAGAAACCCUAGUAGUCC
This 424-nucleotide ribosomal RNA is filed under the name uncultured bacterium. RNAcentral's name for it is "bacterial SSU rRNA". It matches the Rfam family "Bacterial small subunit ribosomal RNA", at positions 354 to 796 of the family's 1533-position model. The record is from RNAcentral.